Pundamilia nyererei is the source of this 159-nucleotide long non-coding RNA. RefSeq lists it as uncharacterized. The record is from RefSeq and is a predicted model, not a curated record. Lineage: Eukaryota; Metazoa; Chordata; Actinopteri; Cichliformes; Cichlidae. The transcript has 4 exons.
CUGUCUCACAGAUGGCCGUGCACACCCACCUGCAUUCGAGACAUAUCAGCAUUAUCAACCUCUAAGACCAGCCACCCCUAAAACUUACCCCUCUUCCUAAACCACCUAAUGUCAUGUUGCCAUAUUAUUUAUUGAUCGGUCGAUAUUCUACAUUUUUCC